AGUUGAAUCAACUUAAAUCAUUGUUUUAUACAAUAUACAAUGUAUAUUCACUUUUACUACCAACUGAUAGAUUAAAACAAUCUUUACCAUUCAGUAAUAACAAGCACUUUUUUUUACAUUUUAAUAUUUUAUGAUGUAUUUAAAUGAGUAGUUAUUGUUGCAAACUUCAUUAGAAAUUUGAAUUGAGAUCAGUUUUGAAAUAAGGGAAAGGGGGAUGUGAAAAAAAAAUUGGGGGGUCAAUUUUUUCAUUCAGAUUUCAUAAAUAAAAAGAAAAUUUAUUCAAACAUUUUUUUGAGAGGAUUAAUAUUCAACAGCAUAGUGAAUUGCUCAAAGGCAAAACAAAAAUUUUAAGUUCAUUAGACCACAUUCAUUCUGUGUCAGAAACCUUUGCUGUGUCAACUAUAUAAUCACAAUCCAAAUUUAGAGCUGAAUCCAGCUUGAAUGUUGUGUCCAUACUUGCCCCAACCGUUCAGGGUUCAACCUCUGCGGUCGUAUAAAGCUGCGCCCUGCGGAGCAUCUGGUUUUUAAUUGGAGUUAUCUUUCUUUGUCCAGAAUCAACUUAAAUCUUUGUUAUAUACAAUAUACAAUGUAUAUUCACUUUUUACUACCAACUGAUAAAUUAAAAUAAUCUUUACCAUUCAGUGAUAACAAGCAGUUUUUUUACAUCUUAAUAUUUUAUGAUGUAUUUAAAUGAGUAGUUAUUGUUGCAAACUCCAUUGGAAAUUUUAAUUGAGAUUAGUUUUGGAAUAAGGGAAAGGGGGAUGUGAUUAAAAAAAUUGGGUUCAAUUUUUCUCAUUUGAAAUUUCAUAAAUAAAAAAGAAAAUUUCUACUAACAUUUUUUUGAGAGGAUUAAUAUUCAACAGCAUAGUGAAUUGCUCUAAGAGAAAACAAAAAUUUUAAGUUCAUUAGAACACAUUCAUUCUGUGUCAGAAACCUAUGCUGUGUCAACUAUUUAAUCACAAUCCAAAUUUAGAGCUGAAUCCAGCUUGAAUGUUGUGUCCAUACUUGCCCCAACCGUUCAGGGUUCAACCUCUGCGGUCGUAUAAAGCUAUGCCCUGCGGAGCAUCUGGUUGUUAU
RNAcentral lists this long non-coding RNA (1077 nucleotides) under Mytilus galloprovincialis (Mediterranean mussel). Lineage: Eukaryota; Metazoa; Mollusca; Bivalvia; Mytilida; Mytilidae. The record is from RNAcentral.